Molecule: small nucleolar RNA, 101 nt
Filed under: Callorhinchus milii (elephant shark)
Lineage: Eukaryota; Metazoa; Chordata; Chondrichthyes; Chimaeriformes; Callorhinchidae
Description: Small nucleolar RNA SNORD14 (ENSCMIG00000007670.1)
Source: RNAcentral
UUCAACUGAGGUAAGGGUAAGGUUUCCAAUCAUACGCAGUUUCUGACCAGAGGAGACUUACCAGAGGGGCCUGAGAAUUUCAAGACUGGAUGUCAAUUGAA